RNAcentral lists this ribosomal RNA (254 nucleotides) under uncultured bacterium. Its description in RNAcentral is "partial 16S ribosomal RNA". It matches the Rfam family "Bacterial small subunit ribosomal RNA", at positions 524 to 776 of the family's 1533-position model. The record is from RNAcentral.
UACGGGGGGAGCAAGCGUUGUUCGGAUUUACUGGGCGUAAAGGGCGCGUAGGCGGCCACCGCAAGUCGACUGUGAAAUCUCCGGGCUUAACCCGGAAAGGUCAGCCGAUACCGCGGGGCUAGAGUGCAGAAGGGGCAACUGGAAUUCUCGGUGUAGCGGUGAAAUGCGUAGAUAUCGAGAGGAACACCUGCGGCGAAGGCGGGUUGCUGGGCUGACACUGACGCUGAUGUGCGAAAGCGUGGGGAGCGAACAGG